UACGUAGGGAGCAAGCGUUGUCCGGAAUCAUUGGGCGUAAAGCGCGCGUAGGUGGCCUCAUAAGUCCGCUGUGAAAGUCAAAGGCUCAACCUUUGAAAGCCGGUGGAUACUGUGGGGCUAGAGUACGGAAGAGGCGAGUGGAAUUCCUGGUGUAGCGGUGGAAUGCGCAGAUAUCAGGAAGAACACCCGUGGCUAAGGCGGCUCUCUAGUACGGUACUGACGCUGAGACGCGAAAGCGUGGGGAGCGAACAGG
Molecule: ribosomal RNA, 253 nt
Filed under: uncultured bacterium
Lineage: Bacteria
Description: partial 16S ribosomal RNA
Rfam family: Bacterial small subunit ribosomal RNA
Source: RNAcentral